AUACGGAGGGCGCAAGCGUUGUUCGGAAUCAUGCGGCGUAAAGCGCGCGUAGGCGGCUUGGCAAGUCGGGUGUGCAAUCCCGGGGCUCAACCCCGGAACUGCACUCGAAACUGCCUAGCUAGAGUCUCGGAGAGGUAGGCGGAAUUCCCGGUGUAGAGGUGAAAUUCGUAGAUAUCGGGAGGAACACCAGUGGCGAAGGCGGCCUACUGGACGAUGACUGACGCUGAGGUGCGAAAGCGUGGGGAGCAAACAGGAUUAGAUACCCCGGUAGUCC
Molecule: ribosomal RNA, 274 nt
Filed under: uncultured bacterium
Lineage: Bacteria
Description: partial 16S ribosomal RNA
Rfam family: Bacterial small subunit ribosomal RNA
Source: RNAcentral